RNAcentral lists this ribosomal RNA (1121 nucleotides) under uncultured beta proteobacterium. RNAcentral's name for it is "bacterial SSU rRNA". It matches the Rfam family "Bacterial small subunit ribosomal RNA", at positions 161 to 1277 of the family's 1533-position model. Lineage: Bacteria; Pseudomonadati; Pseudomonadota; Betaproteobacteria. The record is from RNAcentral.
UGCUAAUACCGCAUAUCUCUCAGGAGGAAAGCAGGGGAUCGAAAGACCUUGCGCUAAAGGAGCGGCUGAUGUCCGAUUAGCUAGUUGGUGGGGUAAAGGCUUACCAAGGCAACGAUCAGUAGCUGGUCUGAGAGGACGACCAGCCACACUGGGACUGAGACACGGCCCAGACUCCUACGGGAGGCAGCAGUGGGGAAUUUUGGACAAUGGGCGAAAGCCUGAUCCAGCUAUGCCGCGUGAGUGAAGAAGGCCUUCGGGUUGUAAAGCUCUUUUAGUCGGAAAGAAAGAGUCAUAGUAAAUAGCUAUGAUUUAUGACGGUACCGACAGAAAAAGCACCGGCUAACUACGUGCCAGCAGCCGCGGUAAUACGUAGGGUGCGAGCGUUAAUCGGAAUUACUGGGCGUAAAGGGUGCGCAGGCGGCCUUGUAAGUCAGAUGUGAAAGCCCCGGGCUUAACCUGGGGAUUGCGUUUGAAACUACAAAGCUAGAGUGCAGCAGAGGGGAGUGGAAUUCCAUGUGUAGCAGUGAAAUGCGUAGAGAUGUGGAAGAACACCGAUGGCGAAGGCAGCUCCCUGGGUUGACACUAACGCUCAUGCACGAAAGCGUGGGGAGCGAACAGGAUUAGGUACCCUGGUAGUCCACGCCCUAAACUAUGUCAACUAGUUGUCGGAUCUAAUUAAGGAUUUGGUAACGUAGCUAACGCGUGAAGUUGACCGCCUGGGGAGUACGAUCGCAAGAUUAAAACUCAAAGGAAUUGACGGGGACCCGCACAAGCGGUGGAUUAUGUGGAUUAAUUCGAUGCAACGCGAAAAACCUUACCUACCCUUGACAUGCUUGGAAUCUAAUGGAGACAUAAGAGUGCCCGAAAGGGAGCCAAGACACAGGUGCUGCAUGGCUGUCGUCAGCUCGUGUCGUGAGAUGUUGGGUUAAGUCCCGCAACGAGCGCAACCCUUGUCGCUAAUUGCUAUCAUUUUAAUGAGCACUUUAGCGAGACUGCCGGUGACAAACCGGAGGAAGGUGGGGAUGACGUCAAGUCCUCAUGGCCCUUAUGGGUAGGGCUUCACACGUAAUACAAUGGCGCGUACAGAGGGUUGCCAAUCCGCGAGGAGGAGCCAAUCUCAG